Molecule: long non-coding RNA, 863 nt
Organism: Thalassophryne amazonica
Lineage: Eukaryota; Metazoa; Chordata; Actinopteri; Batrachoidiformes; Batrachoididae
Exons: 3
Source: RefSeq, a predicted model, not a curated record
AGAUGCACAUUUUAGACAAAAAGAGAGAAAAAAAGUUAUGAGGACAGUAAAUGGGGUGGAGGUAGAAAAAUACAUUGUACAAACAGCCUCAGUUAAAAUGGAACGGUUAAGAUAUAAUCAGAAGUCAUCUGGCAAAAUCUCAUCAUCACAGGCUGAAUGAGCCUUUAAACAACUACAAAACACAAAAAUGUCUGCUACAAGCAUCAGUCUGCCUCAGAGGAAAAAAAUUCAAGAAGUGAUACGGAGUGAGCUUUAACCACACAUGUACAGGACCUGCAGAGGAUCUGCAGUCAGAUUACUGAACCACAAGGUACUUCAAGGCUUUUGCCUUGCAAAUCAAUCCAUCUUUUACUUGUUGUACUGGUCAAAUGCAAACAGGUCACAAAUUUUUACAUGUAAUAAACCCAACACUGUAGCUGUGCAGAUGUUCUCACACAUCUUUUGGUGUAGAUUUUUUUUUCACCUUUAUUUCUUUGUAAUGUGUCCAAAUGUCACUGUAUCUAGAACCAGGCCAUGUAGUUUGAAACAAGAGAAUAAUGGUUCAGGUAAAGCAAAGGUGUACAAUUGGAUCAAGCCCGCCCGCUGUUUGGUUCUCGUCUUGAAAAAGACUGGACAGAAAUCCACAACACAUGAAAACUCAAGUUCACAAGAGAGAGAGAGACUUCACAGACUAGGGUCCAAUCCCUUCCCAUUCUAUUCAUUUUGCACAUUCAUGUGACUUUGGCCUAAGUGCUACAAACUCAUUUGGACCAGUGCAAAAGAAAAAAAUUUGUUCAUAACUAAUUUCAGCCAACAUGGAAAUAUCUCUACAUUAUCGUUCCACAUGCCAUGUUUACUUCUUAAGCAUUUUGGCAUAAGAAACA